This 831-nucleotide ribosomal RNA is filed under the name Dictyosporella yunnanensis. Its description in RNAcentral is "Dictyosporella sp. XT-2022a partial large subunit ribosomal RNA". It matches the Rfam family "Eukaryotic large subunit ribosomal RNA", at positions 85 to 945 of the family's 3401-position model. Lineage: Eukaryota; Fungi; Ascomycota; Sordariomycetes; Junewangiaceae. The record is from RNAcentral.
CACGGCGAGUGAAGCGGCAACAGCUCAGAUUUGAAAUCUGGCCCUUCUGGGUCCGAGUUGUAAUCUGUAGAGGAUGCUUUUGGCAAGACGCCUUCUGAGUCCCCUGGAACGGGGCGCCAUAGAGGGUGAGAGCCCCGUACGGUUGGACGUCGCGCCUCUGUAAAGCACCUUCGACGAGUCGAGUAGUUUGGGAAUGCUGCUCAAAGCGGGAGGUAAAUUUCUUCUAAAGCUAAAUACCGGCCAGAGACCGAUAGCGCACAAGUAGAGUGAUCGAAAGAUGAAAAGCACUUUGAAAAGAGGGUUAAAAAGCACGUGAAAUUGUUGAAAGGGAAGCGUUUGUGACCAGACUUGGUCCCGGCGGAUCAUCCGGCGUUCUCGCCGGUGCACUCCUCCGGGUGUCAGGCCAGCAUCGGUUUCCUCGGGGGCAUAAAGGCUUUGGGAACGUAGCUCCUCCGGGAGUGUUAUAGCCCAUUGCACAAUACCCCCAGGGGGACCGAGGCCCGCGCAUUGCAAGGAUGCUGGCGUAAUGGUCACCAGCGACCCGUCUUGAAACACGGACCAAGGAGUCAAGCAUUAGGGCGAGUGUUUGGGUGCAAAACCCGCACGCGAAAUGAAAGUGAACGCUGGUGAGAGCUUCGGCGCAUCAUCGACCGAUCCUGAUGUAUUCGGAUGGAUUUGAGUAAGAGCCUUACCGCUUGGACCCGAAAGAUGGUGAACUAUGCUUGUAUAGGGUGAAGCCAGAGGAAACUCUGGUGGAGGCUCGCAGCGGUUCUGACGUGCAAAUCGAUCGUCAAAUAUGAGCAUGGGGGCGAAAGACUAAUCGAACCUUGG